AGAAAGAGAAGAAAGAGAGAGAAAGAGAACAAAAAUGCUCCUAGUAUUCUUAAUGUAAUUUAACAUCAUGGUCUAUUACCAGAACAGCGUGAAUGCAGGACCUGAGAUCUACUGAUGUGUGUCCAGGUUUCACACUGAUGUUGUGAGAAGGCACAAAACUGAUGGUACGUGAAAGCAAUUUGCAAUUAAUUUCUGUGCUAUGUUGUCUCCCAGCUCCCUGGUUACAUUCCUGCUUACACUUGGAGAGGCACAGAGGAAAGGUAACAGAGAGUCAAAGGUUAAAGAUGCAACAUGAGACUUAAGGCAAGAGACAUACAAAACACAUGAUGGAAUAAUGUCCAGAUGUUAUGCAGACAGACUAUCACAAAUGGAGAAUGAAGACAGAUGAAUGCAUUUUUGUGUUUGGCUAAGCUACUUUGGGGCAUUUUGCAUCUUGGUUCCUGGAAGCAGUAUUACCACUUUCAGAGUAAAGAAAGACAACAGCAUCACUGCUGACAGUGCCAGAUUUUCCAAGCCAUUUAAUACUUCUGACAGAUGCCUUCAGCAAAGUGAAGAAACUGCAUUAUAUUGACAUAAUGAGUAAAGACUGAAGAUGUUGGAGCUGGGAAUGCUCUGAUGGUCCACCCCUCAUUUCUAAAGUACCAGCACCUAUUCUCACUGUUACAAGAACUCAACUAAAUAAAACAAGAUUAUUGUGUUGUAACUUUCUAAACAUUUCAUGCCGCAAAUUCAAGAGCCUUGGACCUUCAUUAAACUCUGUCCUAUCCAGCUAGCAAGGUUCAUCCGUGUUCUCUGAAGUGCUCAACAUCUUGUUAAUAACACUUCUCCAUUAUAAUGUAUGUAUCAGCAGCAUUUACUCAGUGUGUUUAAGGCUCAAUUUUACUGUUAUAUUGGAUAUUUUAGGGAUAUAUGUCUUUGGAGAUCUCUUUACAAACAGUUGUAAGCAGAGAUUCUUCUCCCAGUGAGAGUGUUGCAGACGUGAACAUCAGCAGCACUGAAAUGUGUUCUGGUCACCACUCUUCAUCAUUGUCAUGGAGACUGGCUCACCCUCUGAGCAGAUUUGGGCAUAAUCCUCCCAUCAGAUUGUGAUGGAAGCUUUGAAAAAAGGCACUGUGGCCAAAUCUGAAAGCUACAAACAAACUGGUUUACACAACUGAAAAUGAUGAAAACCACAGUUAUAGACAGAGCCUUAGAUUUUACUCUGUCCCCAGAGGAGUGCUCAAAAUUUUUUAUCUUAAAUUUCUGUUCAUUGAAUACAGUAAAAUUGAAUGUGGAUAUCACUGAGGAAAGACAGCAAGGUCCUAACUUUUAUACUGUUUGAUUGUCACAAUUAAGUUUAUAUCAGACUUUUGGUAUUGCUUAAGUAGAUGCAUUAGAAAUGUUUAUCCUUUUAUGUGCAGAUUUUGUAUUUAAUAGGACUGUGCUCAAUGGACCUUGAAAUUAAUUAAAGAACAUAAUUUACCUAAAUUAUUUCAGACAACCUCUUUUGCUACUCUCUUUGAAUCUUUAAAUGUUAACUUUUGUCAAAGCAAGUUGUUGUGAAGUCUGAAUUCAUGAAUAAGGAAGAUCCUCUCAACCAUCUGUGAACUACU
This is a long non-coding RNA of Oxyura jamaicensis (ruddy duck), 1592 nucleotides long. RefSeq lists it as uncharacterized. NCBI's taxonomy places the organism in Eukaryota, Metazoa, Chordata, Aves, Anseriformes, Anatidae. The record is from RefSeq and is a predicted model, not a curated record. The transcript is spliced from 4 exons.